GGCCCCUUAACUCAGUCGGUAGAGUGUGAGAUUCCAAAGAGGUGCUGCACCACGGUGUUAUCUCAAAGUCAAGCGUUCAAGUCGCUUAGGGGUCA
Non-coding RNA from Schizosaccharomyces japonicus yFS275, 95 nucleotides. The record is from the annotation of a RefSeq genome assembly. NCBI's taxonomy places the organism in Eukaryota, Fungi, Ascomycota, Schizosaccharomycetes, Schizosaccharomycetales, Schizosaccharomycetaceae.